RNAcentral lists this ribosomal RNA (490 nucleotides) under uncultured bacterium. Its description in RNAcentral is "partial 16S ribosomal RNA". It matches the Rfam family "Bacterial small subunit ribosomal RNA", at positions 28 to 507 of the family's 1533-position model. The record is from RNAcentral.
GAUGAACGCUAGCUACAGGCUUAACACAUGCAAGUCGCGGGGCAGCAUGGGGGUUGCUUGCAAUCCCCGAUGGCGACCGGCGCACGGGUGAGUAACGCGUAUCCAACUUGCCCUUCACCACGGGAUAACCCGGCGAAAGUCGGACUAAUACCGUAUGUUGUCCAUUGACGGCAUCCGAUUUGGACGAAAGGUUUGGCGGUGAAGGAUGGGGAUGCGUCCGAUUAGCUGGACGGCGGGGUGACGGCCCACCGUGGCGACGAUCGGUAGGGGUUCUGAGAGGAAGGUCCCCCACACUGGAACUGAGACACGGUCCAGACUCCUACGGGAGGCGGCAGUGAGGAAUAUUGGUCAAUGGGCGUAAGCCUGAACCAGCCAAGUAGCGUGCAGGAUGACGGCCCUAUGGGCUGUAAACUGCUUUUAUGCGGGGAUAAAGUGGCCCACGUGUGGGUUUUUGCAGGUACCGCAUGAAUAAGGACCGGCUAAUUCCGUG